RNAcentral lists this ribosomal RNA (287 nucleotides) under uncultured bacterium. RNAcentral's name for it is "partial 16S ribosomal RNA". It matches the Rfam family "Bacterial small subunit ribosomal RNA", at positions 775 to 1067 of the family's 1533-position model. The record is from RNAcentral.
GGAUUAGAUACCCUGGUAGUCCACGCUGUAAACGAUGGUUACUAGCUGUUUGGGAGCAAUUCUGAGUGGCUAAGCGAAAGUGAUAAGUAACCCACCUGGGGAGUACGAUCGCAAGAUUGAAACUCAAAGGAAUUGACGGGGGCCCGCACAAGCGGUGGAGCAUGUGGUUUAAUUCGAUGAUACGCGAGGAACCUUACCAGGGCUUAAAUGUAGAGUGACAGGGGCAGAGACGCCUUUUUCUUCGGACACUUUACAAGGUGCUGCAUGGUUGUCGUCAGCUCGUGCCG